Molecule: ribosomal RNA, 429 nt
Filed under: Bacillota bacterium
Lineage: Bacteria; Bacillati; Bacillota
Description: Firmicutes bacterium partial 16S ribosomal RNA
Rfam family: Bacterial small subunit ribosomal RNA
Source: RNAcentral
UAGGGAAUCUUCGGCAAUGGACGGAAGUCUGACCGAGCAACGCCGCGUGAGUGAAGAAGGUUUUCGGAUCGUAAAGCUCUGUUGUUAGAGAAGAACGUUGGUAGGAGUGGAAAAUCUACCAAGUGACGGUAACUAACCAGAAAGGGACGGCUAACUACGUGCCAGCAGCCGCGGUAAUACGUAGGUCCCGAGCGUUGUCCGGAUUUAUUGGGCGUAAAGCGAGCGCAGGCGGUUCUUCAAGUCUGAAGUUAAAGGCAGUGGCUUAACCAUUGUACGCUUUGGAAACUGGAGGACUUGAGUGCAGAAGGGGAGAGUGGAAUUCCAUGUGUAGCGGUGAAAUGCGUAGAUAUAUGGAGGAACACCGGUGGCGAAAGCGGCUCUCUGGUCUGUAACUGACGCUGAGGCUCGAAAGCGUGGGGAGCAAACAGG